GACUCCACCUUUUCUUCUUUCUAUUUCUAGCAGACUAGUGGAUAUUUUAAAAACCUUUGAAACGCGUCAUCUUCGUUUUCAAACUUCAAUUCCCUUUUCAUUUCCUCGUUGACCGACGACAGCCACCAACUCCACCACCACCACCACCACCAUCCGCUCUGCUCAGCUCUGAGAGUUUUCAUAAGUUUGCAGUUCGCAUGCUCGACGCUUUGUCCCAGUAAGCAGAACGUAAUUUCUCUUCUCUGUCUCUUUCUGCUCUUAUCCUUUUCAACUUUUAGGGCUUGUCUGUUUCCGGAAAAUUAUAGAGGGAGAAAAUUGUAAGUGGGAAACUGAAAAAGUUGGAUUUUUUUAGGGUUGUUUGUACUCUGUAUGCUCGUUUGAUCUCAAGUAUUUAUAAAGAAAAAAAUUGAAAAAUUGUUGUUUUGGAAGAGUUAAUUAAUAUAUUUUAUCUGGGAAUUGAAUAAUUAUUUGGGAAGAAUAAGUUGUUUAUUGAAAUUUCUGCCGUUACUUUUGUGAACUAAAGCAGAAGUUUUGGCUGGAGUUGAAGCUGGUUGAUGUAUGGGUAUCACUGUCUGAUGUGAUAUUUCUUUAAUUUCAAGUGUAGGGUUUGGUGUUAUCAAACUUGCGGAGGGUCUUUUGCAGUGGUAUAAGAUUUGAGUUGCAUUAUAUAAUUCCUUUUUAGUUACAGUGUUGUAAAAGAGGGAUUUAAAGAUAAAAUAUUUUGGAGUUCAGUGAUUAUAUUGAAGUUAUUGAGAUGGAUAAUAGGAAUCCAGAUCAUUUGGGUGUGAAUAAAUUUGGGAAGAAUAUCAAGAAGAGUCCUAUACACCAGCCCAAUUUCAACAACACAAAUAGUGCUAGGCCACAACCUCAACCUCAGGUUUACAAUAUUAACAAGAAUGAUUUUCGGAGCAUUGUUCAGCAACUGACAGGUUCACCUUCUCAAGAGCCUCCACCUAGACCUCCCCAGAAUCCUUCAAAGCCUCAGAGCAUGAGAUUACAAAAAAUUCGGCCACCACCUUUGACUCCAAUAAAUCGUCCCCAAAUCCCAAUCCACCCUCCUGCACAGGUCCCAGGCUUAGCUCAAUCUGCAGGAGGUGUUCCUUACCAUAACAAUGUUGUGAGACCGCCUCCUCAUUAUGGUCAGCCGUCACCCCCAAUGUUACCACCCACUCCUGGAGAUGUUUGGACAAAUACAGCUGAGUCUCCGAUUUCAGUUUAUAUGCGUUAUCUUCAGAAUUCAAUAAUAGAUUCUGGGCCUAGACAAGCACAAUUUCAAGGUCCUGGUCAUUUUCAAGCACAUCCACCAUCAUCUGGUUUACUACCUAAUCCUUCAAUGCCACCUCUUCUGAAUGGCCCACCUCCGCGGAUGAAUGGUCUUCCAUCUCCUAGGAUGAAUGGUCCUCCACCUCUUCCUUCCCCGGGAAUAAAUGGGCCUCCUCCUUUGCCUUCACCUACUUCUCAGUAUCUUUUGCCGUCACCCACUGGCUUCUUGAACUUGUUAUCUCCCCGGUCCCCUUAUCCAUUGCUUUCUCCGGGUAUGCAGCAUCCUCCACCACUGACACCAAAUUUCUCCUUCUCUCCCAUGGCUCAACCUGGGAUUCUAGGCCCGGGACCACAAUUUCCUCCUUCUCCUGGUUAUGGAUUUCCUUUGUCACCUUCUGGGUUCUUUCCCAUUUCAAGUCCAAGAUGGAGGGAUCAAUAGUUCUAGGAAGAGAGCUGCUGACUUGGAUGGCUCCUUCGAUCUGAUUCUUUGCUUUGAAUUUUGUCAUGAUGGCAGAUCUCCUCCAAAUUGAAGCUUUUUCCCUGUGGAUAUGCAGUGUGUACUAGCAAAAUGUAAAAUAGGUAGAACUACUAUGUUUAUACUCUUAGGAGAAAAGAUGAGACGGAGGGUUUGGAGGUGGAAAGGGUGACAGAUAACAGAUUCAAAGUAUUAUCAUGGUCAGCUGGCACUGGAACCUCAAAGCAUUGAGCUAGUUUUUGACAGUUCUACUUCUCCAGUCACCAGAUCCGAGUAGUAGCAAAUGCAGUUGUCUAGUUCCAUUUAGUAUUGGACAAUCUAUAUAAUCAUAUUAAAUGAACACUUUGGUUAUGGGAAAGCACUGGAUAUUCUUGUCCAAAGUCACUCUGGCAACGAUGCUUUUACAUGAGUCCAGCUUAUGAAACGGAAUGAUAUCCCCUUGUACACUAUGGGUCUGUAUGUCAAUUGUAGGUACCACAUGUGUAUAUGUUGGUGGGGUAUUCUAUCAGCAUUUUGGACUAGCUGAAGAAAAAUCUAGCACAUGGUUGUCAGUUAUUUCAAGUUACUUGGAAGCUCAUUUAUAAUACUGAAAAGCAAACAGGUGAUGGUUGAUGAUGCUUGAGGCAAAUAGAGUUUAGGAACAAUGUUAAGACCUAAAACAUUUCACAUUUGCAUAAGCUAUGCCAUGGAAAAGCUAUUCUGAGAGUGCAAAAUUUCAUCUCUAAAGGGUGAGAAUUUUCAUAAUGUAAACAUGACUCAGCUCAAUAUUGUUAUGAUCUUUCUGGAGCUUAUCUUUAUUUCUGCAAUAGAAUCU
This is a non-coding RNA of Nicotiana tabacum (common tobacco), 2552 nucleotides long. The record is from RefSeq and is a predicted model, not a curated record. Lineage: Eukaryota; Viridiplantae; Streptophyta; Magnoliopsida; Solanales; Solanaceae.